RNAcentral lists this microRNA (22 nucleotides) under Neolamprologus brichardi. RNAcentral describes it as "nbr-miR-10569". Lineage: Eukaryota; Metazoa; Chordata; Actinopteri; Cichliformes; Cichlidae. The record is from miRBase by way of RNAcentral.
ACCGAGCAGAACUCUGACGAGC